UACAGAGGUGGCGAGCGUUGUUCGGAUUCAUUGGGCGUAAAGGGUUCGUAGGCGGUCCGGAAAGUCGGGUGUGAAAUCCCACAGCUUAACUGUGGAACUGCAUUCGAAACUCCCAGACUAGAGUGUGAGAGGGGUGAAGAGAAUUCCCGGUGUAAGGGUGAAAUCUGCAGAGAUCGGGAGGAAAACCUGUCGCGAAGGCGCUUCACUGGCUCACAACUGACGCUCAGGGACGAAAGCUAGGGUAGCCAACGGG
Molecule: unclassified non-coding RNA, 253 nt
Filed under: uncultured bacterium
Lineage: Bacteria
Description: contains 16S-23S intergenic spacer region
Rfam family: Bacterial small subunit ribosomal RNA
Source: RNAcentral